UGGGGAAUUUUGGACAAUGGGCGAAAGCCUGAUCCAGCAAUGCCGCGUGUGUGAAGAAGGCCUUCGGGUUGUAAAGCACUUUUGUCCGGAAAGAAAUCCUUGGCUCUAAUACAGUCGGGGGAUGACGGUACCGGAAGAAUAAGCACCGGCUAACUACGUGCCAGCAGCCGCGGUAAUACGUAGGGUGCAAGCGUUAAUCGGAAUUACUGGGCGUAAAGCGUGCGCAGGCGGUUUGCUAAGACCGAUGUGAAAUCCCCGGGCUCAACCUGGGAACUGCAUUGGUGACUGGCAGGCUAGAGUAUGGCAGAGGGGGGUAGAAUUCCACGUGUAGCAGUGAAAUGCGUAGAGAUGUGGAGGAAUACCGAUGGCGAAGGCAGCCCCCUGGGCCAAUACUGACGCUCAUGCACGAAAGCGUGGGGAGCAAACAGGAUUAGAUACCCUGGUAGUCCACGCCCUAAACGAUGUCAACUAGUUGUUGGGGAUUCAUUUCCUUAGUAACGUAGCUAACGCGUGAAGUUGACCGCCUGGGGGAGUACGGUCGCAAGAUUAAAACUCAAA
This 558-nucleotide ribosomal RNA is filed under the name uncultured bacterium. RNAcentral describes it as "partial 16S ribosomal RNA". It matches the Rfam family "Bacterial small subunit ribosomal RNA", at positions 355 to 905 of the family's 1533-position model. The record is from RNAcentral.